AGAGGUAAGAGGUACUACAGGGGUAGGAGUGAAAUCUUGUAAUCCCUGUGGGACCACCUGUGGCGAAGGCGUCUUACCAGAACGGGUUCGACGGUGAGGGACGAAAGCUGGGGGCACGAACCGGAUUAGAUACCCGGGUAGUCCCAGCCGUAAACGGAUGCUCGCUACGGUGUCAGGCAUGGCGCGACCGUGUCUGGUGCCGCAGGGAAGCCGUGAAGCGAGCCACCUGGGAAGUACGGCCGCAAGGCUGAAACUUAAAGGAAUUGGCGGGGGAGCACAACAACGGGUGGAAGCCUGCGGUUUAAUUGGACUCAACGCCGGACAACUCACCGGGGGCGACAGCAAUAUGUAGGCCAAGCUGAAGACUUUGCCUGAAUCGCUGAGUGGAGGUGCAUGG
RNAcentral lists this ribosomal RNA (397 nucleotides) under uncultured archaeon. RNAcentral's name for it is "bacterial SSU rRNA". It matches the Rfam family "Archaeal small subunit ribosomal RNA", at positions 604 to 997 of the family's 1478-position model. The record is from RNAcentral.